RNAcentral lists this long non-coding RNA (1218 nucleotides) under Calidris pygmaea (Spoon-billed sandpiper). Its description in RNAcentral is "lncRNA (ENSCPGG00000003908.1)". Lineage: Eukaryota; Metazoa; Chordata; Aves; Charadriiformes; Scolopacidae. The record is from RNAcentral.
GAGGGGGGGAGGAGUGUCGCCAGGGCCCUUGGCCGUAUGCGGUCGCUCGCCUAUGACGUCAACUGUUCGGAGCCUAUCCGGAUGGGCGUUGGUGACGAGGGCGCCUGCUUGAGAGCGGUGAGGCGGGCGGGGGUGACAGGCAGUGAGUAGGGCAGCUAAGCGGGGGCCUUCCACGGCGCGGUCCGCCCGGGGCGGCGGGUGCGUUUGAAAAGGAACGGGCGGGCCCCGGCCCUUCCCGGGGUGCCUUCGCCAUGGCCCUGCCCGCCCUCCACAGGUGCCUCCAACUCAGUGAUGAAAAUGAACAGUUAGUCAAGAAGCUGAAAAAACUACAUAUAAAAAAUAAGGAACUAGAAAAGAAUCUGAGUCAGAUCCAAGAAACACUACAUCUGCAGCAGUUAAUGCAUGACUAUGUCACAUAUAGAGAUGUUCAAGUUCAAACAGAAACCCAUUUGUUGCAUAAGGGUGGAUACAGCAAGGAUCUUAAUCUAGAGGGUGACAGUGUCAGACUACUUCAGAUGUAUAAUGAGCUACAGAAACGUUAUGUUAAAGAAAUCAAAACAAACCAGGAGCAAAGUGAAGAAAUUAAAAAUCUUACUAUUAAAAUUCAUGAGCUAGAGCAUAAUCUUCGAGAACAGAGGCAGAGAAUUGAGCAAUUGGAAUCUAAAAAGGUUUCCUGGAAAACUAGUGCUGCUUCUGGAAAAAGAAGUCGAGCCCCAGAGGGAGAAGUAACAUCUUGCAGGAACGUGUCUAAAAAGAAGGAAUCCUGUUGCAGUGAAUAUUUAGAGCUAUUGUUGAAGGAGAUUAAAAAGCUGAAGAAAGAAAAUGAAAAGUUGUCUACAGAAAAGAAAGCACUAAAAAAUGAAUUAGCCGGAUUAGAUAAGGAGUUUUUUGAAGAGGUGGAAGAUCUAAAGCGUGCUGUACAGGAAUCUGUGAAACUGAAUAAUCAGUAUGAAAAGUGCUUGAAACAAAUAAGUGUAAUGUAUGGACUUCCUUUUACAUCACAUUUGUAACUACUGAUUAAUUUAAAGGCAAGUAGGUUUUCUACAUAACUUUUUUUGGUACUUACUACAACAUUUAAACCUACCACGACUCUGUAGUACCACAUUUUGAUAAUAUUAUGGAUCUCAAUAUGACAAGCUGCUCUGAAAUGCUUUUGUAUUUUGUGCCUUUGAUUUUUUUUUUCUUUUUUUUAAAUAAACAGUGGUCUAUAUAACUUCA